RNAcentral lists this long non-coding RNA (1188 nucleotides) under Bos taurus (domestic cattle). Its description in RNAcentral is "long non-coding RNA NONBTAT025614". Lineage: Eukaryota; Metazoa; Chordata; Mammalia; Artiodactyla; Bovidae. The record is from RNAcentral.
GUGGCAAGAAAAUCUCUUAAGCUUCUUGUCCUUAUUGAAAAAAAUCUUUGGACCAGUAUUGUGGAAUGUCCUCAUUUUUGAGGUGUAAUAAGUCAUGAACUUGGGGUUUUAUUCACCAAGGAAAGACUCUUGUAACCUAAAAGCACUGAGUGUAAGUCUAGUAAAAUGCACCCAGCAUUUAAAACCAAAUUUCUUCCUUGAAAAUUCAUAGAGGAAGAUUUAGACCUUUUCAAGUUCAGGAUUAUGCCUUAACUAUCAAGUGUGUUACUAGCCCUAUAUUCUGGGGAGCUAUGUGAGGCGUCUCUUAAGAACUGGAGUCACCGUGGCUGACUCAUCCUCGGGUUUGGAUUACAUGUGUGGGCUUGUGUUUUGGAUGGAGCUUUCUGGAAUAGCAACACUCCAUCAAAAACACAGUGGCACACCUGUACUCCAAAUGGUUGAAUAAGGCAAAACAUAUGGCAUCAAAACGCUGGGAAUCAUAGUAAAAAGAAAAAGAAAGAACGCAGGGUGUAGCAAGGAUAAAGACAGCACCAAGGCACUGAUAGCCAUGAAGAAUAGAACAAGUUUUAAGUAUAUGGCUUAUGAAAUGAUUUAUCUAUCAUUUAACCUCUGCUCAUAAGCCAUGUUUGUUCUGCGUGAUGUCGACAUGAACACCACACUCAGAGGGUGUGAAAAGUUGCUCAUUUGGAUGUUUCAUCCUAAAAAGUAAAUUCUCAUCACAAGUUGCGCAACUGGAAAUGACUGCUUCUUAUAUUAACAAUGGCUCUGAAAUGCCAUGAAAAAAGUAAUAAAACAGCUUCUUCUGGAAUUUUCAUUGGUCACUUAUGGUAUAGAAUACAUUUUGCUAUUUUCUCUUAAGAAUAGUGUAAUACUUUGUGUAAUGUUAACAAGGGGAUUUAUGUCAUUUUUCAUAUAAAAUGUUCACAAAUUACCUUUCCAUUCUAAUGAAUUCAUACUCAGACCUCUUAGAAGAAAGCGUUAAUAGUGUCACUCUGGUGGGACUUGUUAAUUUUACAUAGUUUAUUUUUUAUGGAUAUGAUUUUAAAACAAGUGUAAUAAAAAUUUUCUCUUUGUGUAAUGACCUCUGCUUAGUUAAUUAACUGCAAGAAAUUGUUCUUGUAGGUAAAGUUUAAGUAGGCAGGUGUAAAGGUGAACUUCUUCUAAAUAAAAACUUACUUCUGUCUGUCA